RNAcentral lists this long non-coding RNA (1173 nucleotides) under Mustela putorius furo (domestic ferret). RNAcentral's name for it is "lncRNA (ENSMPUG00000031917.1)". Lineage: Eukaryota; Metazoa; Chordata; Mammalia; Carnivora; Mustelidae. The record is from RNAcentral.
AUGGGCAGUGACCAGCCUUGUGUGUCUGUGAAGAGACGACCUACAAGGGACAGCCUCCUGUGGGAUGUGACCCUGGAACACACAUCCGGGACCUUUCACCACAUGGCAACCCUUCACUCUCUUGGCUGUCCGCCUCUCUGCCAUUUGUCUUCAGGCAAUCGUAAGGUUGCUGGAGAAGACAUGAGCCCGUGUCCAUAUACUCCAGAGCAGAGGCACAAUGUGUGAGUUAACUGAAGCAGCUCUGUCCGUGGAGAUGCCAGAAGGCUGUGUCUACUUUACAGGGAGAAUUCUGGCUGUGCCUGACACCUUCAUACAACCACUUAGGAAAGAAAUCUGGCAAGGUGGAUCAGAAACCCAAAAAGAGGGGUUCAUUUCCUUGGACCCAACAAUGCAAUUUCCAUGUUCAAAAUAAUGCUCAUGGACUAAGACAGCAACAAAAAGAUUGCUAGUGAGGAAUUAUUUAUUAGAAAAAACAACAAGGAGAAACUCUAGGGUUCAACGGUUAGGUUAUGACUGCAAUGUGACUGCAACAUCCAGAAAAUAAGCCUUUCCUUAAAAGAGUGUCUAGGAAGAGCUUAAGACAAGAGAAAUAUCAAGGAUAUCAAGCUGAAUUAAGAAACAAGAAGCCCAUGAUUGUGUGUGCAGAGCGUGAUCUCCAUUGACCAGCGAUGACUCUCACUGGCUCUGUUAUCUCUCCCUUCUUUCAUUCCACACCCAGCUCUAUGCUGUAGGGUGUCAUUUGUGUGUCAGUGACAAGUGACUCGUGUGGAGUGAGCACUGCAUGAGUAUUAUUUGAUGAAUAAAUCAACCCUCUAAGCAACACAUAUGUAUUCCCUUACUAAGCAUUUAACAUGCGGAUGAAUUAAAGGUACAACCCAUUAAGAGAUAGCUCUGAUUAUUAGCUUUGCAAGCACACGGUAGAGUUCAGAGAAUGAGGCACACAGGAUUUUCCCCUCACCACCUACAUGGCCCUACAAAGAACUCCUAGGGGCAGGGAAUGUGAGCACAAGCCAGGCUUCCCUCUCCUCCCCCACCCCACACCCCUGACUCCCACUCCCCUGGGGAGUCAUUGAAACAUGGCACCAUUCCCCAGGCUCUUCCUUCCACUUGGGUUUUCCCAUUCCAGCCAAGCCUGAGAGGCAAACAUUUACAUGGUAAAAAAUAAACAACAAC